GAUGAAGAACGCAGCGAAAUGCGAUAAGUAGUGUGAAUUGCAGAAUUCAGUGAAUCAUCGAAUCUUUGAACGCACAUUGCGCCCCUUGGUAUUCCAUGGGGCAUGCCUGUUCGAGCGUCAUCUACACCCUCAAGCUCUGCUUGGUGUUGGGCGUCUGUCCCGCCUCUGCGCGCGGACUCGCCCCGAAUGCAUUGGCAGCGUCCCUUGCCCCCUCUCGCGCAGCACAUUGCGCUUCUCGAGGGCGGCUCCGGGGCGCGACCCACCGAAGAUGACCACCGUCUUUGACCUCGGAUCAGGUAGGGAUACCCGCUGAACUUAAGCAUAUCAAUAAGCGGAGGA
This 339-nucleotide unclassified non-coding RNA is filed under the name soil metagenome. Its description in RNAcentral is "partial contains 5.8S ribosomal RNA, internal transcribed spacer 2, and large subunit ribosomal RNA". The stretch from base 1 to 120 matches the Rfam family "5.8S ribosomal RNA", at positions 35 to 154 of the family's 154-position model. The record is from RNAcentral.